CCUACGGGAGGCAGCAGUGGGGGAUAUUGCACAAUGGGGGAAACCCUGAUGCAGCGACGCCGCGUGUGGGACGACGGUCCUCUGGAUUGUAAACCACUGUCCCCAGGGCCGACGAUGACGGUACCUGGGGAGGACGCUCCGGCUAACUACGUGCCAGCAGCCGCGGUAAUACGUAGGGAGCGAGCGUUGUGCGGAAUUACUGGGUGUAAAGGGAGCGUAGGCGGGACUGCAAGUUGGGUGUCAAAUCUACGGGCUCAACCGGUAGCCGCACUCAAAACUGCAGUUCUUGAGUGAAGUAGAGGCAGGCGGAAUUCCUAGUGUAGCGGUGAAAUGCGUAGAUAUUAGGAGGAACACCAGUGGCGAAGGCGGCCUGCUGGGCUUUUACUGACGCUGAGGCUCGAAAGUGUGGGGAGCAAACAGGAUUAGAUACCCUGGUAGUC
RNAcentral lists this ribosomal RNA (440 nucleotides) under uncultured bacterium. RNAcentral's name for it is "partial 16S ribosomal RNA". It matches the Rfam family "Bacterial small subunit ribosomal RNA", at positions 338 to 795 of the family's 1533-position model. The record is from RNAcentral.